CCGUUUUCAGGCUCUCAACAGGAUCGCCUCUGGGAAGAACAAGCUGAAGCAUAUUCAAGUGGAGGACGAGGAACCCCGAUUCGAAACGAGGACGCCGCUCAAUCCGCUGCGUCCAGCUCCCCCUCUCCUCCUGGUGAGCCUACCUCUUCCGACGAUCAGAUCCAACCAGCUGCAGGACCAAUCCAUAAUGGUCACGGUGUGGUGAGCACUGCAAAUGAAUCAGGGGAGGAUGACAGCCCACACGAGCCAAAUGGGAACGUCAAAGGUAAGCUUCAUACGCCGUUACGGAGCCUACUUCUGGAGGACGCCUCGAAAUGUACCGCUGAUGUUGAUCCCAUUACGCCUAAUGGUACUACCACUAGUAGCCCUUCAUUCAUAAGACGAUUGUUCCGAGUCAUGAGCACGCCCUCCCGUGCUGGGGAGAGAGAAGGUAUGAGCCAAGCUAAGCUGAAGAAGUCGUCGUCUAUGUGGGCG
RNAcentral lists this long non-coding RNA (474 nucleotides) under Physcomitrium patens. RNAcentral's name for it is "long non-coding RNA (PPAT_LNC013767)". The record is from RNAcentral. Lineage: Eukaryota; Viridiplantae; Streptophyta; Bryopsida; Funariales; Funariaceae.